UACGGGAGGCAGCAGUGGGGAAUAUUGCACAAUGGGCGCAAGCCUGAUGCAGCCAUGCCGCGUGUAUGAAGAAGGCCUUCGGGUUGUAAAGUACUUUCAGUCGUGAGGAAGGUGUUAAGGUUAAUAACCUUAGCAAUUGACGUUAGCGACAGAAGAAGCACCGGCUAACUCCGUGCCAGCAGCCGCGGUAAUACGGAGGGUGCGAGCGUUAAUCGGAAUUACUGGGCGUAAAGGGCACGCAGGCGGUUAAUUAAGUUGGAUGUGAAAUCCCCGGGCUUAACCUGGGAAUGGCAUUCAAGACUGGUUAGCUAGAGUCUUGUAGAGGGGGUAGAAUUCCAUGUGUAGCGGUGAAAUGCGUAGAGAUGUGGAGGAAUACCGGUGGCGAAGGCGGCCCCUGGACAAGACUGACGCUCAUGUGCGAAAGCGUGGGGAGCAAC
RNAcentral lists this ribosomal RNA (437 nucleotides) under uncultured bacterium. RNAcentral describes it as "bacterial SSU rRNA". It matches the Rfam family "Bacterial small subunit ribosomal RNA", at positions 340 to 772 of the family's 1533-position model. The record is from RNAcentral.